Molecule: ribosomal RNA, 642 nt
Filed under: uncultured bacterium
Lineage: Bacteria
Description: bacterial SSU rRNA
Rfam family: Bacterial small subunit ribosomal RNA
Source: RNAcentral
CAAAGGGAUUACCGGUGGCGGAUGGGCAUGCGGCGCAUUAGCUAGUCGGCGGGGUAACGGCCCACCGAGGCGACGAUGCGUAGGGGUUCUGAGAGGAAGGUCCCCCACACUGGUAUUGAGACACGGACCAGACUCCUACGGGAGGCAGCAGUGAGGAAUAUUGGUCAAUGGGCGCGAGCCUGAACCAGCCAAGUCGCGUGAGGGAUGACGGUCCUACGGAUUGUAAACCUCUUUUGCCGGGGAGCAAGCGUGCGUUCGUGAACGCGCGUCGAGAGUACCCGGAGAAAAAGCAUCGGCUAACUCCGUGCCAGCAGCCGCGGUAAUACGGAGGAUGCGAGCGUUAUCCGGAUUUAUUGGGUUUAAAGGGUGCGUAGGCGGGAUGCCAAGUCAGCGGUAAAAAUGCGGUGCUCAACGCCGUCGAGCCGUUGAAACUGGCGUUCUUGAGUGGGCGAGAAGUAUGCGGAAUGCGUGGUGUAGCGGUGAAAUGCAUAGAUAUCACGCAGAACUCCGAUUGCGAAGGCAGCAUACCGGCGCCCUACUGACGCUGAGGCACGAAAGCGUGGGUAUCGAACAGGAUUAGAUACCCUGGUAGUCCACGCAGUAAACGAUGAAUGCUAACUGUCCGGCUCGAAUGAGCGCUGG